UAUACCCGACCUGAAGCUCAAGAACCCUAAAUCUCUCCAAAUUUCUAAAGAAUAAGCCCCAAAUCGAAGCUCAAGCUAAGUUGUUUUGAAUCAAAGAUAACUAAAUUCAAGUUUAUUUUGACUUUAUAAGCCCAAUUAGAGUUGUAUCUCUUCACUGCUUGAGUAGGCUUUGUAAGCAAGAGGAUGAUCAUGAGUUGAAGGAUGUGCUAAGCAAACAUGGAUUUCUUCCGCCUUUGUUGACCUCUUGGACCUUAAGGAACCCUGGUACAAGAUAUUGGAGUUGUCCAUAUGAUGGUGGUGCUAGAUCAUGUCAUUUUUAUCUUUGGAAGGAUGAUGACAUUGAUCCAAGAUCCAAAUUUGUGAUUCCUAAACUGGUGGGAAGAAUUUGAUGAACUUGAAGCAUCAUUGCAGACUUUUGGAAAAGAUGAUUACAAGCCUACUAGGUCAAUAGACUCUGUGGAAAGCAAAAUUGAUAAGAACAUAGAGAUUCAACUAGACAAUUUUGGAGAAGACAUUAAGAAGAUGAAAGAAAAUGAGAAGAAGGAGAAAGUAUUUUUGAUUUCCUUAUUGUGUAUUUGUAUUGCAAUAGUAAGUUUUGUGCUUCAAGACAUGUACUUGAGAGGUGUUUCAAUGAAGUUGCCUUAAGCUUUUGGUGUAGUUGUUUUUGAGAAUGUUGUAAGGGGGGUGCAAUUGUUAGUGUUGUAAAGAACUUAUUGGUGUUGUAAUGAACCCUUAUUUUGUGU
This is a long non-coding RNA of Lycium barbarum (goji berry), 743 nucleotides long. RefSeq lists it as uncharacterized. NCBI's taxonomy places the organism in Eukaryota, Viridiplantae, Streptophyta, Magnoliopsida, Solanales, Solanaceae. The record is from RefSeq and is a predicted model, not a curated record. The transcript has 3 exons.